UUACGGUCAAAUCAUGCUGAAAACACCGGUUCUCAUUCGGUUCUCGUUCGAUCACCGAAGUUAAGCAUCGUAGAGCCAGGUCAGUACUUAGAUGGGGGACCGCUUGGGAACACCUGGUACUGUAAGC
Molecule: non-coding RNA, 127 nt
Organism: Acanthosepion pharaonis
Lineage: Eukaryota; Metazoa; Mollusca; Cephalopoda; Sepiida; Sepiidae
Source: the annotation of a GenBank genome assembly